This is a long non-coding RNA of Archocentrus centrarchus (flier cichlid), 1543 nucleotides long. RefSeq lists it as uncharacterized. The record is from RefSeq and is a predicted model, not a curated record. Lineage: Eukaryota; Metazoa; Chordata; Actinopteri; Cichliformes; Cichlidae. The transcript has 3 exons.
GAAAUAGCCCAUUAGACGAGUCACUUCAGCAACAUACCAACUACCUUGCUGGAAAUGGAAACGCUGCCACCUUCGCUUUCACGAAACAAAGAGAAGCACCAAAAGAGGUGGGGAAAGACAGAGAGGCAUACAAAGGCUCUGUGAAGGAACAGUCACUCCCAGGCAGGACUAUCAAAGAGAAAGCAGCCUUUGAGGCAGACAAAGAAAAGUAAGGCACAGCAGUAACUACUCUGUAUGCAUGUGCGAGACAGCCACAGACAAAAAACGGAAACAAGAAGAAGAAGUCUGAAAGAGGGGAAGAGAUGAGAAGACUCAAAGCAACUGAAGAUUAAGAGCAGCGUGGAAGAGGACAGGAGAGCGCUGAAUGGGAUUUGUUUUUGUGUCACUUUUCCCCUCACGUGCAUUUUUUUUCCCCCCUGAUCAGUGUCACUGGAAUUAUCCCUGUGAGCCAUAAUCUCAACCUGACUGCUAAUCUCAGGCUCGCCUGAACACUCCUCCUCUGGAAGACGUCCCCAUAACAAAUUAGCACGCUGCCGAGCAGAGGCGCUCAGCAGGCGACUCCUUCAGAGAGAUGAUGACACGCUCCUCACUGGCUCCUAACCACCGACCGGUUUUGCGAUUUCUGACGGUUUAGGCUUGGCUGAGUUUGAGCAAACGACUAAAAACUUUCAGGAGGAUGGAUGCCAGAGAAGAGACACUGACCCUCCUCAGCAGAAUCUGGGUCAAGCUUCAAGGACUGCCCAAUGCCAACCCCAUAGACCUGGGAGCUUUCUUCAUCCUGUUAACUUUUAUCCUCGUGGUCCUGCUCACCACAGUGGGGACCUGCGUGAGCUUCUGCUGCGGCUGCUGCAGCUGCUGCCGCUGCUGCUGUCGCAAGAGGAAAAUACAGGGAUCCAGCCUUUGAGUCGAAACAGACACAACUACAGGCUUUCUCUCUCUCAUGAACAAGCAAUAACUCUUUCGUCGAGGCUCCUGAUCACGUUUAAUAAACAUAUAUACAUGCAAGAAUUGUACAGGACAGUGAGCAGGACUAAAGAACUCUAACAAACCCGACAAACACAGUAAAGGAUGUCCUGAAAGGGUGCCAAACACACCUGCUUAAGCCACCAGGCUUUCAGGAGAGUCGACAUUCCUUGGAGCAUCCCUGCACUCAACAGGGCAACAACAAUGCCCGAGGACAGGGUAGGGCCAACUCCAGCUGUAUUUAAUAAUGCAGAAACUACUUGGAAUAUACAGGAUUAAACAUGUGUAUAAAAGAAAUCUUAAAGAAAGCCCAACUGUUUUUUCAGAGCUUUCCAAGCAUAAUUAUGUCUCAUUCUUAAGGAAUGAGAACUGGCAGUCAGACUCCUGGGUUAGGUAAAAGCCUCCAAAGUGGGAAGCAGCUUUCAAACGUGAAACUGUGUGACAAAGCAAGUCUGCCCUCUGCUGUACAGAAAGGUGCAUGUUACAUACUGUGGAACGGGUGAAGCCAGCAUGUUAUGACGUGAUGCUGUAACUCUGCACUUAUUGUCCUUCUUGCUUUGACUUGUAUGUAAAUAAUUAA